ACUGAUAGACGUUGGAAGGCUAGGGAAAGCGGGGACCGAGAGAAAUCUCAGAAACUGCCGGAUCUAGCCGGAAAUCGUUAUUCGGUUAGUGGCAGACGGGUGAGUAACACGUGGGUGACCUGCCCCAAAGUGGGGAAUAACUACUCGAAAGGGUAGCUAAUUCCGCAUGUGGUCCGUCAUUCGUUUGGCGGACGAAAGGGCCUCGGCCCGCUUUGGGAGGGGCCCGCGGCCGAUUAGCUAGUUGGUGAGGUAACGGCUCACCAAGGCGAUGAUCGGUAGCUGGUCUGAGAGGACGAUCAGCCACACUGGCACUGACACACGGGCCAGACUCCUACGGGAGGCAGCAGUGAGGAAUUUUGCACAAUGGGCGAAAGCCUGAUGCAGCAACGCCGCGUGGGUGAUGAAGGCCUUCGGGUUGUAAAACCCUUUUCUGGGGGAAGAGGAAGGACGGUACCCCAGGAAUAAGUCUCGGCUAACUACGUGCCAGCAGCCGCGGUAAUACGUAGGAGACGAGCGUUAUCCGGAUUUACUGGGCGUAAAGCGCGCGCAGGCGGUGAUCUAAGUUGGAUGUGAAAUCUCCCGGCUCAACCGGGAGGGGUCGUUCAAUACUGGAUCACUUGAGGGCAGAAGAGGGAAGUGGAAUUCCCGGUGUAGCGGUGGAAUGCGCAGAUAUCGGGAGGAACACCAGUGGCGAAGGCGGCUUCCUGGUCUGUUUCUGACGCUGAGGCGCGAAAGCUAGGGUAGCAAACGGGAUUAGAUACCCCGGUAGUCCUAGCUGUAAACGAUGGAUACUAGGUGUCGGUGGUGUUGACUCCAUCGGUGCCAAAGCUAACGCGUUAAGUAUCCCGCCUGGGGACUACGGCCGCAAGGCUAAAACUCAAAGGAAUUGACGGGGACCCGCACAAGCAGCGGAGCGUGUGGUUCAAUUCGAUUCAACACGAAGAACCUUACCUGGGCUUGACAUGCUGGUGGUAGUGACGCGAAAGCCGAUCGACCCUUCGGGGAGCCAGCACAGGUGUUGCAUGGCUGUCGUCAGCUCGUGCCGUGAGGUGUUGGGUUAAGUCCCGCAACGAGCGCAACCCCCGCUGUUAGUUAAAUAUCUCUAGCAGGACUGCCGGUACAAAACCGGAGGAAGGUGGGGACGACGUCAAGUCAGCAUGACCUUUAUGUCCAGGGCUACACACACGCUACAAUGGCCGGUACAAUGGGUUGCCAAGCCGUGAGGCGGAGCCAAUCCCCCAAAACCGGUCUCAGUAGGAUUGGAGGCUGCAACUCGCCUCCAUGAAUCUGGAGUUGCUAGUAACCGCCGGUCAGCCAUACGGCGGUGAAUACGUUCCCGGGUCUUGUACACACCGCCCGUCACGUCAUGGGAGCCGGUAACACCUGAAGCCAGUGGGCUAACCCGCAAGGGAGGCAGCUGUCGAAGGUGGGACUGGUGACUGGGACGAAGUCGUAACAAGGUA
This 1463-nucleotide ribosomal RNA is filed under the name metagenome. RNAcentral describes it as "bacterial SSU rRNA". It matches the Rfam family "Bacterial small subunit ribosomal RNA". The record is from RNAcentral.